This 478-nucleotide ribosomal RNA is filed under the name uncultured bacterium. Its description in RNAcentral is "partial 16S ribosomal RNA". It matches the Rfam family "Bacterial small subunit ribosomal RNA", at positions 28 to 523 of the family's 1533-position model. The record is from RNAcentral.
GACGAACGCUGGCGGCGUGCUUAACACAUGCAAGUCGAACGGUAAGGCCCUUCGGGGUACACGAGUGGCGAACGGGUGAGUAACACGUGGGUGAUCUGCCCUGCACUUCGGGAUAAGCCUGGGAAACUGGGUCUAAUACCGGAUAGGACCACUGCCUGCAUGGGUGGGGGUGGAAAGCCUUUGCGGUGUGGGAUGGGCCCGCGGCCCAUCAGCUUGUUGGUGGGGUGAUGGCCUACCAAGGCGACGACGGGUAGCCGGCCUGAGAGGGUGACCGGCCACACUGGGACUGAGAUACGGCCCAGACUCCUACGGGAGGCAGCAGUGGGGAAUAUUGCACAAUGGGCGCAAGCCUGAUGCAGCGACGCCGCGUGAGGGAUGACGGCCUUCGGGUUGUAAACCUCUUUCAGCACCGACGAAGCGCAAGUGACGGUAGGUGCAGAAGAAGGACCGGCCAACUACGUGCCAGCAGCCGCGGUAA